UACGAACCGUACGAACGUUAUUCGGAAUCACUGGGCUUAAAGGGUGCGUAGGCGGUGCGGAAAGUUGGGUGUGAAAUCCCUCGGCUCAACCGAGGAAUUGCGCCCAAAACUACCGUGCUAGAGGGAGACAGAGGUGAGUGGAACUUAGGGUGGAGCGGUGAAAUGCGUUGAUAUCCUAAGGAACACCAGUGGCGAAAGCGACUCACUGGGUCUCUUCUGACGCUGAGGCACGAAAGCUAGGGGAGCAAACGGG
RNAcentral lists this ribosomal RNA (253 nucleotides) under uncultured bacterium. RNAcentral describes it as "partial 16S ribosomal RNA". It matches the Rfam family "Bacterial small subunit ribosomal RNA", at positions 524 to 776 of the family's 1533-position model. The record is from RNAcentral.